RNAcentral lists this ribosomal RNA (546 nucleotides) under uncultured bacterium. RNAcentral describes it as "bacterial SSU rRNA". It matches the Rfam family "Bacterial small subunit ribosomal RNA", at positions 52 to 595 of the family's 1533-position model. The record is from RNAcentral.
CACAUGCAAGUCGAACGGUAACAGGUCUUCGGACGCUGACGAGUGGCGAACGGGUGAGUAAUACAUCGGAACGUGCCCAGUCGUGGGGGAUAACUACUCGAAAGAGUAGCUAAUACCGCAUACGAUCUGAGGAUGAAAGCGGGGGACCUUCGGGCCUCGCGCGAUUGGAGCGGCCGAUGGCAGAUUAGGUAGUUGGUGGGAUAAAAGCUUACCAAGCCGACGAUCUGUAGCUGGUCUGAGAGGACGACCAGCCACACUGGGACUGAGACACGGCCCAGACUCCUACGGGAGGCAGCAGUGGGGAAUUUUGGACAAUGGGCGAAAGCCUGAUCCAGCAAUGCCGCGUGCAGAAUGAAGGCCUUCGGGUUGUAAACUGCUUUUGUACGGAACGAAAAAGCUCCUUCUAAUACAGGGGGCCCAUGACGGUACCGUAAGAAUAAGCACCGGCUAACUACGUGCCAGCAGCCGCGGUAAUACGUAGGGUGCGAGCGUUAAUCGGAAUUACUGGGCGUAAAGCGUGCGCAGGCGGUUAUGUAAGACAGAUGU